This 253-nucleotide ribosomal RNA is filed under the name uncultured bacterium. RNAcentral describes it as "partial 16S ribosomal RNA". It matches the Rfam family "Bacterial small subunit ribosomal RNA", at positions 524 to 776 of the family's 1533-position model. The record is from RNAcentral.
UACGUAGGGUGCGAGCGUUAAUCGGAAUUAUUGGGCGUAAAGAGCGUGUAGGCGGUUCGGUAAGUCUGUCGUGAAAUCCUGAGGCUCAACCUCGGACGUGCGAUGGAUACUGCCGGGCUAGAGGAUGGUAGAGGCGAGUGGAAUUCCCGGUGUAGCGGUGAAAUGCGCAGAUAUCAGGAAGAACACCCGUGGCGAAGGCGGCCCUCUGGGACGGUACUGACGCUGAGACGCGAAAGCGUGGGGAGCAAACAGG